This 406-nucleotide ribosomal RNA is filed under the name uncultured prokaryote. RNAcentral describes it as "bacterial SSU rRNA". It matches the Rfam family "Bacterial small subunit ribosomal RNA", at positions 355 to 776 of the family's 1533-position model. The record is from RNAcentral. RNAcentral also lists the same sequence under 1 other name.
UGGGGAAUAUUGGGCAAUGGGCGAAAGCCUGACCCAGCGACGCCGCGUGAGGGAAGACGGUCUUCGGAUUGUAAACCUCUUUUAUAAGGGACGAAGAAAUGACGGUACCUUAUGAAUAAGCCACGGCUAACUACGUGCCAGCAGCCGCGGGAAUACGUAGGUGGCAAGCGUUAUCCGGAUUUACUGGGUGUAAAGGGUGUGUAGGCGGGAUGGUAAGUCAGAUGUGAAAAUUAUGGGCUCAACUCAUAACCUGCAUUUGAAACUGCUGUUCUUGAGGUUCGGAGAGGUAGACGGAAUUCCUGGUGUAGCGGUGAAAUGCGUAGAUAUCAGGAGGAACACCGGUGGCGAAGGCGGUCUACUGGACGAAUACUGACGCUGAGACACGAAAGCGUGGGGAGCAAACAGG